This 402-nucleotide ribosomal RNA is filed under the name uncultured bacterium. RNAcentral describes it as "bacterial SSU rRNA". It matches the Rfam family "Bacterial small subunit ribosomal RNA", at positions 355 to 774 of the family's 1533-position model. The record is from RNAcentral.
UGGGGAAUCUUGCACAAUGGGGGCAACCCUGAUGCAGCGACGCCGCGUGAGCGAUGAAGCCCUUCGGGGCGUAAAGCUCUUUCGACCGGAACGAUAAUGACGGUACCGGGAGAAGAAGCUGCGGCUAACUACGUGCCAGCAGCCGCGGUAAUACGUAGGCAGCAAGCGUUGUUCGGAGUUACUGGGCGUAAAGAGUGCGUAGGCGGUUUUCUAAGUUCGGUGUGAAAUCUCCCGGCUUAACUGGGAGGGUGCGCCGAAGACUGGGAAGCUGGAGUGUGGGAGAGGCAGGCGGAGUUCCUGGUGUAGCGGUGAAAUGCGUAGAUAUCAGGAGGAACACCGGCGGUGUAGACGGCUUGCUAGACCAUAACUGACGCUGAGGCACGAAAGCGUGGGUAGCAAACA